Molecule: ribosomal RNA, 391 nt
Filed under: uncultured bacterium
Lineage: Bacteria
Description: bacterial SSU rRNA
Rfam family: Bacterial small subunit ribosomal RNA
Source: RNAcentral
GACGAACGCUGGCGGCGCGCUUAACACAUGCAAGUCGAGCGAGAACCAGGCCUUCGGGCCUGGGGACGAGCGGCGAACGGGUGAGUAACACGUGGGUAAUCAACCCUCGAUACUGGGAUAGCCCGGGGGAAACCCGGGAUUAAUACCGGAUGGCCCUUCGGAUCCUCGGAUCUGAAGGAAAAGGUAAGCUUCGGCCUCCGAUCGAGGACGAGCCCGCGGCGGAUUAGCUUGUUGGUGAGGUAACGGCUCACCAAGGCGACGAUCCGUAGCUGGUCUGAGAGGACGAUCAGCCACACUGGGACUGAGACACGGCCCAGACUCCUACGGGAGGCAGCAGUGGGGAAUCUUGCGCUAAUGCGGGAAACCGUGACGCAGCGACGCCGCGUGAGGG